CACACCUCCAUCCAGAGUAACACCGAACCUUACCAAUCACCAUUGGGAGCAAUCCAGUCUUCGCCAAUCACGGUUUCCUGGAGAAGCCAUAGCAUUGUAUGGAUUUAUCUUCAAGGAACUUGAACUGUGAUUCAUAUUACCUUCAUGACCUAGAAAAGGGAAAGUUAGGGGUUGGAUUCAACUGGAAAAAAAAGAAAAUGAGGAUGGUGAAAAACAAAAUUCCCUGCCUUUAGAGCUGCUGAUCCCAGGGAAGAUGGCCCUUUCACUGGGUUGCAAGUAUAGCCCAGGACCCAAAAUUGAAGUGAGGUAUCUGCAGCCCAUCAAACUACCUCCCUUACUUCUCCUUUGAAGAUUGAACUCACUCUGGCUUUAUUUCAUUUUUCUUCUUUCAUUCUGUGUCAUUCUGUGGAACAUUUAAAAUAGUUACCUCUGGUUUAGCAAGACCAUAACUAUUGCAUUCUUCUUAAAGAGUAUGUAUUAUCUACACUGCUGACCUAUCCUGCUCCAGUCCCCUAAGUGUCCUGUCAAUAGAGAAUUGGACAAAGAAUUUGGUUGUCUCCCAAGUGGUCAAACAUCAACAUUCUCUGUAACCAGAGAGUGUUUAGAGUUGGUCUCAUGAGUUAACAUGUAUUUGAAAACAAAGUGCUUUAUGAAUGAUGAUGAUGACGAGAAGUAUGAUGAUGAUGAUGUCAUUUACUAGAAUUCCCACUCCAAAAUAUGGAGCUAAAGGGGUUUCUGCAUCUCCUAGUCUCUUCUCCCACCUCUCCCACUUUCAGGACAUGUUCCUCUGUUUUCAUCAUGUGAUGGAGGGUCCUUGGAAAAUAGCCAGUAAGUGCCUUACAUAUCUUAAUAUCAUGGAUCCUCACAUAUUGUCGUGGGAGGUAGGUGCGGUUAUCAUCCCCAUU
Sarcophilus harrisii (Tasmanian devil) is the source of this 905-nucleotide long non-coding RNA. RefSeq lists it as uncharacterized. Lineage: Eukaryota; Metazoa; Chordata; Mammalia; Dasyuromorphia; Dasyuridae. The record is from RefSeq and is a predicted model, not a curated record. The transcript is spliced from 3 exons.